RNAcentral lists this transfer RNA (83 nucleotides) under Mimivirus LCMiAC01. RNAcentral describes it as "tRNA-Ser". It matches the Rfam family "tRNA". Rfam says of the family: Transfer RNA (tRNA) molecules are approximately 80 nucleotides in length. The record is from RNAcentral. Lineage: Varidnaviria; Bamfordvirae; Nucleocytoviricota; Megaviricetes; Imitervirales; Mimiviridae.
GUCGCCAUGGCUGAGUGGUUAAAGGUACAUGUUUGCUACACAUGGGGAGAAAUCCUACGCAGGUUCGAAUCCUGUUGGUGACG